This 918-nucleotide ribosomal RNA is filed under the name Triticum aestivum (bread wheat). RNAcentral describes it as "partial small subunit ribosomal RNA". Lineage: Eukaryota; Viridiplantae; Streptophyta; Magnoliopsida; Poales; Poaceae. The record is from RNAcentral.
AUGGCCAAGCAAUUUACCGCUUGCAACUGGGCUCGUUCCCGGGUCACCGAGGAACAAUUGAACGAUAUGGUCAGCAUCGGCAUCUUGCCUAAGAAAACUGAAAUUAAAUGGCGAGUCCCAGGAGCAGAAAAUCCUCCAACCGCAAGGCAGGGUGAGCUGGUUGUCUUUGUUGAUCACAUGGGCCGUGGCUUCAAACCGCCAGGGUCAAAGUUUUACCGGGAUGUGCUUGCCAGUUUCCAACUUCAUCCUCAAGAUAUCGGACCCAACUCGGUCUCCAAUUUAUGCAACUUCCAGGUCUUCUGUGAAGUGUACUUACAAGAAGAACCAACUGCGGAGCUGUUCCGGGACUUCUUUCACCUAAACCGGCACACAGAAUUUGUAAAUGGCCCCAACACUGAACUUGGUGAUGUCUCAAUUCAGAAGCAUAAAGAAGUUGAAUUUCCUCAUGCCAAACUGCACAGCCAUCCUAAGGAAUGGAACCAGACUUGGUUUUACUGCAGAGAUAUGUCUCCUGAAGAUGAGAAUCCCCUCCCAGGCUUUCGUGAUCACCGGCUUUCCAACACCCAUCCAAUGUUGCAACGCUUAAGCUCUACAGAAAGGGCCAAAUAUGCCCCUCAACUCGCCAAACUCCGGGCUUUCAUGGCCAACGGUUUAACAGGCGUUGAUUUCAUGCGCUGUUGGAUAUCUUGGAGCAUCUUGCCGCUAAGCUGGCGCCCCGGUUUAAUGUGUGAGUACACCGGUGAUGUUGAAGACCCACAACGUCAUUGCAACAUUCAGGUGACCGAUGGAGAGGUCACGGAAAGUGUAAAGAAAAUUUUGAAUGAAACGGAAGUAGUCUGUAGUCAAACCGGACUGAACCCCUUCUAUACUAAGAACAGACCGUCUGAUGUAAGUACUAUACUUCCUUUUCAUCCUUGA